RNAcentral lists this non-coding RNA (28 nucleotides) under Mus musculus (house mouse). The record is from RNAcentral. Lineage: Eukaryota; Metazoa; Chordata; Mammalia; Rodentia; Muridae.
UAGUGGCCAUUUCUGAUUUAUUUGAUGA